Molecule: small nuclear RNA, 39 nt
Filed under: Cervus elaphus hippelaphus
Lineage: Eukaryota; Metazoa; Chordata; Mammalia; Artiodactyla; Cervidae
Rfam family: U2 spliceosomal RNA
About the family: U2 is a small nuclear RNA (snRNA) component of the spliceosome (involved in pre-mRNA splicing). Complementary binding between U2 snRNA (in an area lying towards the 5' end but 3' to hairpin I) and the branchpoint sequence (BPS) of the intron results the bulging out of an unpaired adenosine, on the BPS, which initiates a nucleophilic attack at the intronic 5' splice site, thus starting the first of two transesterification reactions that mediate splicing.
Source: RNAcentral
AUCGCUUCUCGGCCUUUUGGCUAAGAUCAAGUGUAGCAU